CCUACGGGAGGCAGCAGUGAGGAAUCUUGGUCAAUGGGCGCGAGCCUGAACCAGCCAAGUCGCGUGAAGGAUGACUGCCCUACGGGUUGUAAACUUCUUUUAUAUAGGAAUAAAGUCAGGCACGUGUGCCUUUUUGUCUGUACUUUAUGAAUAAGGAUAGGCUAACUCCGUGCCAGCAGCCGCGGUAAUACGGAGGAUCCGAGCGUUAUCCGGAUUUAUUGGGUUUAAAGGGAGCGUAGAUGGGUUGUUAAGUCAGUUGUGAUAGUUUGCGGCUCAACCGUAAAAGUGCAAUUGAUACUGGCAGUCUUGAGUGCAGUUGAGGUAGGCGGAAUUCGUGGUGUAGCGGUGAAAUGCGUAGAUAUAACGAAGAACUCCGAUUGCGAAGGCAGCUUACUAAACUGCCACUGACAUUGAUGCGCGAAAGUGUGGGUAUCAAACAGGAUUAGAUACCCUUGUAGUC
This 460-nucleotide ribosomal RNA is filed under the name uncultured bacterium. Its description in RNAcentral is "partial 16S ribosomal RNA". It matches the Rfam family "Bacterial small subunit ribosomal RNA", at positions 338 to 795 of the family's 1533-position model. The record is from RNAcentral.